UUUUUUUUCAAGUUCAUCAUCUGGUAAUUUUUUUGACUGCACCUUUAAUAAAAAGUACAGACAAAUCUCUACUGCAAGAUGUAUGUAUCAAAGAAUCUAUGGCACUAUGCAGCAGCAGAAGGAAAGUACACUGAAAUUUAGUUGGAACAUCUUGAAGAUUUCGAAAGUGUAAUCCCGGUGAAACAACACAAACCAUUAUUGUAUCUUUAAUAACAAGUUACUGGAUCAAGACAACUUGCA
Anneissia japonica is the source of this 240-nucleotide long non-coding RNA. RefSeq lists it as uncharacterized. The transcript is spliced from 3 exons. NCBI's taxonomy places the organism in Eukaryota, Metazoa, Echinodermata, Crinoidea, Comatulida, Comatulidae. The record is from RefSeq and is a predicted model, not a curated record.